RNAcentral lists this ribosomal RNA (253 nucleotides) under uncultured bacterium. RNAcentral's name for it is "partial small subunit ribosomal RNA". It matches the Rfam family "Bacterial small subunit ribosomal RNA", at positions 26 to 285 of the family's 1533-position model. The record is from RNAcentral.
AGGACGAACGCUGGCGGCGUGCUUAACACAUGCAAGUCGAGCGGAAAGGCCCUUCGGGGUACUCGAGCGGCGAACGGGUGAGUAACACGUGAGCAACCUGCCCUUAGCUCCGGGAUAGCUCCGGGAAACCGGAAUUAAUACCGGAUACGACCACGGCCGACAUCUGCUGUGGUGGAAAGGAUUCCGGCUAAGGAUGGGCUCGCGGCCUAUCAGCUAGUUGGUGGGUAAUGGCCCACCAAGGCGACGACGGGUA